This 17-nucleotide unclassified non-coding RNA is filed under the name Influenza A virus (A/Brevig Mission/1/1918(H1N1)). Its description in RNAcentral is "RNA (5'-R(P*GP*GP*CP*CP*UP*GP*CP*U)-3') from Influenza A virus (A/Brevig Mission/1/1918(H1N1)) (PDB 7NJ4, chain E)". Lineage: Riboviria; Orthornavirae; Negarnaviricota; Insthoviricetes; Articulavirales; Orthomyxoviridae. The record is from RNAcentral. RNAcentral also lists the same sequence under 1 other name.
GGCCUGCUUUUGCUAUU